Long non-coding RNA from Pseudopipra pipra, 618 nucleotides. RefSeq lists it as uncharacterized. Lineage: Eukaryota; Metazoa; Chordata; Aves; Passeriformes; Pipridae. The transcript is spliced from 2 exons. The record is from RefSeq and is a predicted model, not a curated record.
GCAGAAUUCUUGGUUUGGUGAACUGGUGCCUAUGGGAAGCAGAAGAAGAUCCCAGGAGCACUGCAGGGCUCUGCAGCAAACACUCAUCCUGAUUUACAGUGGAGGUGACUGUCAUCCUCAGAUCUUCCAGAAGUUGCCAAGUUGAAGUUUCCUGCAGUUUAAUUGCCAUGCUGUGUCCUGCCAUCUGAAACCACGAAGCAGCAGACAGAGGAAGGGUGACCCCCUCCAGACAUCCAUCCCUUGUGCUGGAAGAAUGUUUUCUCUGGAAGUCUGUGCCUGGGAGCCUGAGAAGAUGCUGUUCCCUGCUGGGCUGAGGGCUCUGCAGGCUGGGCUGGCAGCAGGAGCAGCCAGCCCAGGCCUGGCCAGCCAUGCCCAGGGGGUUGGCACAGGAACACCGGGGAGAUCUCCACCAGGGUAACUGGGACAGGGUGCUGUGCAGUCACCCGGGCCUGGGCUGUGCAGACACGUUCCCGAGGAGGGGAGGAGCUCUCGUGUCAGCCCCGAAGCACCGAGCUCGACUUACACAGGGUGGGAAAGCUGCUGGGACAGGUUUUGCUGGGAAACAGUUUCAGGCUUCUGAAGGUGUGAUUCAAACCCCAGUUAAAAGGAUAAAACCCA